UGUCUUUAAAUAAAGCCUGUAUGAAAGGCAAAACGAAAGUUCAACUGUCUCUUUAAUCCAAUCAAUGAAAUUAAUCUUUCCGUGCAGAAGCGGAAAUAGAAAUAUAAGACGAGAAGACCCUAUGGAGCUUUAAAUAUAAAAUUAACUAUACCAUUAAACUACAAAUCCACGGAUAAAAUAAUAACAUUAGCUAUAAUUUGAAUUUUCGGUUGGGGCGACCACGGAGAAAAAAUAAUCCUCCGAGAUAAUAGUUUAGAAUUACACUUCAAAAAUUAAAACAUUUAUUAUAAAUGAUCCACUAAGUGACCAACGAACCAAGUUACCCUAGGGAUAACAGCGCAAUCCUUUCUAAGAGUCCAUAUCGACGAAUGGGUUUACGACCUCGAUGUUGGAUCAGGACAUCCUAAUGGUGCAGCCGCUAUUAAAGGUUNGUUNG
RNAcentral lists this ribosomal RNA (436 nucleotides) under Notophthalmus viridescens (eastern newt). RNAcentral describes it as "partial 16S ribosomal RNA". It matches the Rfam family "Bacterial large subunit ribosomal RNA", at positions 1970 to 2579 of the family's 2925-position model. The record is from RNAcentral. Lineage: Eukaryota; Metazoa; Chordata; Amphibia; Caudata; Salamandridae.